AUUGAACGCUGGCGGCAGGCCUAACACAUGCAAGUCGAGCGGAUGAAGGGAGCUUGCUCCUGGAUUCAGCGGCGGACGGGUGAGUAAUGCCUAGGAAUCUGCCUGGUAGUGGGGGAUAACUUCCGGAAACGGGCGCUAAUACCGCAUACGUCCUGAGGGAGAAAGUGGGGGAUCUUCGGACCUCACGCUAUCAGAUGAGCCUAGGUCGGAUUAGCUAGUUGGUGGGGUAAAGGCCUACCAAGGCGACGAUCCGUAACUGGUCUGAGAGGAUGAUCAGUCACACUGGAACUGAGACACGGUCCAGACUCCUACGGGAGGCAGCAGUGGGGAAUAUUGGAAGAUGGGCGAAAGACUGAUCCAGCCAUGCCGCGUGUGUGAAGAAGGUCUUCGGAUUGUAAAGCACUUUAAGUUGGGAGGAAGGGCAGUAAGUUAAUACCUGGCUGUUUUGACGUUACCAACAGAAUAAGCACCGGCUAACUUCGUG
This 484-nucleotide ribosomal RNA is filed under the name uncultured bacterium. RNAcentral's name for it is "partial 16S ribosomal RNA". It matches the Rfam family "Bacterial small subunit ribosomal RNA", at positions 30 to 507 of the family's 1533-position model. The record is from RNAcentral.